CGAAAGCCUGACGGAGCAACGCCGCGUGAGGGAGGAAGGCUCUUGGGUUGUAAACCUCUUUUCUCAAGGAAGAUAAUGACGGUACUUGAGGAAUCAGCAUCGGCUAACUCCGUGCCAGCAGCCGCGGUAAUACGGAGGAUGCAAGCGUUAUCCGGAAUAAUUGGGCGUAAAGCGUUCGUAGGUGGUGAUGUAAGUCUGCUGUUAAAGCGUGUAGCUUAACUACAUAUAGGCGGUGGAAACUACGUGACUAGAGUGCGUUCGGGGCAGAGGGAAUUCCUGGUGUAGCGGUGAAAUGCGUAGAUAUCAGGAAGAACACCGGUGGCGAAGGCGCUCUGCUAGGCCGUAACUGACACUGAGGGACGAAAGCUAGGGGAGCG
This 377-nucleotide ribosomal RNA is filed under the name uncultured cyanobacterium. Its description in RNAcentral is "bacterial SSU rRNA". It matches the Rfam family "Bacterial small subunit ribosomal RNA", at positions 376 to 770 of the family's 1533-position model. The record is from RNAcentral. Lineage: Bacteria; Bacillati; Cyanobacteriota.